GUAAUUGUGGUCGAGUGGUUAAGGCGAUGGACAUGAAAUCCAUUGGUGUUUCCCUGCACAGGUUCGAAUCAUGUCGAUUACA
Non-coding RNA from Protopterus annectens (West African lungfish), 82 nucleotides. The record is from the annotation of a RefSeq genome assembly. Lineage: Eukaryota; Metazoa; Chordata; Ceratodontiformes; Protopteridae.